Camelus dromedarius (Arabian camel) is the source of this 553-nucleotide long non-coding RNA. RefSeq lists it as uncharacterized. The record is from RefSeq and is a predicted model, not a curated record. The transcript is spliced from 3 exons. Lineage: Eukaryota; Metazoa; Chordata; Mammalia; Artiodactyla; Camelidae.
UCAAAACCUUCAGUGCAUCUUGUCUCUAUGCAAGCUUGGCUGCCCCAGCAUCUCAGCCAAUCGCAGCCUAAGCCUGGAAACACAGUGUGGCCUGAGCAAGCUGAUGUGCAGAUCAACUGAUAAUGGAUGCAAAAGAGCCCAGUAAAACGACUUUGUUUAAAGCAUGCUGUGCACUGCUUGCUGUCAUUUGUGGACAAAGAAUAAAGCUCAGGAGCCACGUGGCUGAGCGAGCAACCCAGAACUGAAAGAAGUCACUGGGGAGGGGGAAGCACCACGAUGACCAGACCAUGGACAUCAGACCAGAAUCUCCAGCUGCAGAACCAAGGCCACUUCCCAGGUCUGCAGGGUGCUGACAACCAAGGGAAUUACACACCCUCAUGUUGACUUUCUUAGCAUCUCACCUGCUGGAGAAAGAAUGUAUCGGUGAAGCCAGUGGUUCCGCAAAGGCAAUCUUACACAGGUAAGUUUAGUACAUAAAACAGGUUACAAAGGAGGCAGAGGGCUUAUUAGGAGGGAGAGAGAGAGGGAAAGAGGGAGGAAGAGACAGGGAAGC